This is a long non-coding RNA of Cygnus olor (mute swan), 3995 nucleotides long. RefSeq lists it as uncharacterized. NCBI's taxonomy places the organism in Eukaryota, Metazoa, Chordata, Aves, Anseriformes, Anatidae. The record is from RefSeq and is a predicted model, not a curated record. The transcript has 3 exons.
CCAAAACUUUGCUUUUGUUUUAAUUAGGCAAAAAACAUACGUAUGUGAAUACAAUUCUGGCUCUUGACAGCAACAGUUCUCUGUUGCUACUACAGUUGGAAAGUGGCAUACUCAACAGCAUUCAGUUUAAUUUGGUAACUUGCUCAAGGAAGUGGGUCUUAAGACAAGUGCUUUCAUGUAAUGUCAAAGCACAGGAUGAGUUUCACCAACUGGAGCACAUGUCAACUGUGGCAUCAAGAUGACUUUCCUUUAAGAUCUGUCAUAUUUUGCACACAUUUUGUUCUGCUUGUUUUUAAUAGUUUCUUCUGCAUGCUUUCUAACUGUGGAUGAGGAGAGCCUCACCUGUACUCUUAGGGGAAAAAAAAAAGAGUGAAAUUCUCAUUUUUGUUGCAUAUGAAGGACAUGUGAAUCUCUAAAUCUCACUCAUAGAAGAGAAGCUGGUUAGUAUUCGAUACCAUGAAGAGAGGUUUCCAUUGAGGAGCUUGGACUAAAACAUGGCUGUGGGUUGAGCCUACCUCUGACCCACAAAAACAAACAAACAAACAAACAAACAAAAAAAAAACAGAGGCAAUAGGCAAUAGGAGGCAAUAGGAAGAUCUUAGAAGAACUAGAAAUAAAAUAAAUUAAGGUUUACUUGCUUUAUUUAUUUAUUUAUUUUUUGAUUAUUACGCAGGAUCUGCAUGAAAUACUGAUGGCUCAUUUUCAAUCAGUACUUGAGAUAAAUGCCACUGCUAUGUAAUGACUCUUCCUUUCUUUCUGAGAGAUCCUAAGGUGAACUAGUUAACAUCUUCUCUAUGGACCGAGACCUUUAGAAGACUGUUAGCUGUCAUAAAUGCGCUCAUGAAUACUUGGGACAUUCGAGAGCAGAUGUAAACUCCGAUGUACCAGAAAUCACACAGCUUCUGUCUUCUACACAAUAUUGUUGAAGAGUGCUUCACAAGAGUCUUGCUGACAGUGGGCUAGCUGGAGAGGCUUAGACCUGAGCUGGCAGAGAAACCUCUCUAUUCCUGUGAAUUUCUCAUUGGAGAACUGAAGAUGACUGCUAGAAAAUGACCACAAAAAACAGUAUGAAAAAGGCAAAGUGAAUUUAUCUACAAAAGCUCACCAUGACUCGCAAUGACAGAUACCAACCCCAGCAAUCAAUAAUAUACAGUGGAAAUACCAAUGGACUCCUCAGAACAGCACUGCUAGUGGCACCACUCUUUACUGCUAUUGAAAUGAAUUCAAAGGAGCUGGGCUUUUGCUCUCAAAUCAUGCAUUAUGUUAUCACUUUUCUAUUCUCACAUCAUUUAUUUAAAAGCAAUUGUUUCCUUGAUUCACAGCUAUCCACACAUACGUGAUAUGAAACAUUACGUGCCAUAUUUUAUCUCUCCCUGGGUAUAAGUCUACAAUGUGUUGAUGUUGAUGUGAGAUGAGGAUGCUCAGCACUUCAACAAAACCAGGCCCUAAGUAAAAGGCGAAUGCAAUGUUUCAACAAGUACAAGUAACAAAUGGACAUGGUGAAGGUGGUGAUUAAAGACCAUUGUAAGUACACUUUGGGGUUCUGAUGUUGCAGUACUAGCCUGCUUCUAUUUUACUCUUGCGGCUCAUUUCUUCGCAGAAUACCUCUUGUCACUUACUGUUAAUGUUUCCUGCUGAUCUUUUACAUACUGUUUUUAUUUAGUGAUUCUUGACCAAGGGAAGAAUUCUGUGUGCAGUGGCACAGGCUAGAGCGCUGACCUCUGCAGCACUGAGUGACUUCCUUCCUCCUCCACCAAAUUUUGCAGUGGGGAGGGCACUCAGCCCUGUUUGGCAGACACUGAGAGCGGCACUCACCUCACCUAACGUGGAGGUAGAGAGCUACUCAUCAGCUGUUCGCUCUCAUCCACCUUGUAGCUGAUGGGAAGAAAGAGGCACCUCUAGGCUGUGGUUCAUCUUACCUAUCUUACAUAUCAAGGAUAAUGUGAAUUGAGGCCUGAUAGUGCCUUAUGCUAUGGUGACUCAUUCAGUUAUAACUGCGUACACUGUACAUAUCUACAUUUGCUCAGCUGCAUCCCAUGUCUCGAUACUUCUCUCAGUAUGACCUUAAGUCCAGGGUAAUUCCAGCUCAAGCCAUUUUCAGGAUUUAUACAAAUUGCCUCAAGCCUUUUUUCCACUUAUCUUGAAGGCACUUUGAUAAAUGUCCACAUUCAAGGAUUUUAAAAAAAUAACUGAAAUCACCUCUUUACAAUGCUAUAUUCACCACACACUACAGCAGUUCAUAUGGAUUUCACUUACAUUAAUAUUUGGGUAUCAGCAGGAAGCGGUGUUUCGCAAAUAUGAUUUGGCAAUGUGUUCAUGAUCUUCUGCAUGGAUUCAUUCACUACAAAAAAAGAGAAAAGAUUGUUUUACAGAUAAAAAGUUGUCAUGUCACAAACCAAAAUGAAGGAAGUUCUCUUGUUACAAACUGAGAUGUUAAGUGAUUUGUUUGGUGUUCCUGCCUUAAAUAGUAUGAGCUUCCCUUAAAAAAUAAAAUGUGAAAUUCACUGUUAGUUUCUUUAAUACUGUCUGACUAAGAAGUCACAGAGCCUCUUACAUUGAAUCCUGUCCUUUGAAUCGCUUUUUUUUUUUUUUUACUUUUGUAUAUUUUGCAAAUUCAGACCUUUAUCACCAACCAAAUAAAUCUCUCAUUUUGACAAUAGAAAAUCUAGCUCCAAAUCUGAAUUUUGUAGUUUGGGUUUCCUUCUACUUCCUGUCUGAGAGCAUAGUUACGGCAACUAUUUGCACAAGUUCGUAUCUAAUUGAAACGCUGUUGACAUGUGUAUGUGCUAAACAAAGGAAUGUAAUAAAAAUUUAUGAGUUAGUUACACUUUGAAUCAAUAAAGUGUUAAAGAGUUAAAAAGAGCUCAUUUUUUUCUCAGGUCUUUCAGGCCAGGAACUGUUUGUAAUGCACAGAGCACGUCUGGGACAUUAUUCCCUUUCGCAGUGUCCUAUAUACAUAUCUUUUUUGAUUACCAUGAAUAUGACAGAGAUCUACACAGUGAAGCAUGAUGCAGUGAUAUGAAACUCUCUCAGUGAUUUUCAGAAUAUGCAACUCAUAAAUCAUCCAUUUUAGCCUGGGCCCAAAUUUGCAUGAAAACGUGGUCUCAAAAGGUAAUUUACCCAAAGCCCAACCAAUCCCAGCUGUGUGAAGCACAUAACAAAGUUAAGAAGGUAGGUUUCACAUGGCUUCAGGGUUUGUAAUGGAUGCUUUGCACAGCUGUAACGAUGAGUGGGUGAGGAGAGUUAAGAAUGAAUGAAGUGUGGGUGGUGGAAAUAUUCACUGGGCAUGUCACGGCCAAGGGAGGAAGCACAGGGGCCUCCCGGUCUCCACGAUGGGAAGGACAUCAAGGCUCCCUGGACAGGGAUCCUACUUAUUUAUUUAUUUCAGCUCUGACACAUUCUCAUUAGGAAGGCAAAAAAUGUGAAAUUGAUACAGUUUCUUUUGAACACAGAGAGAUGACUGUGGCUGCGCAGCAGAGCUGUCUUAUAAUCUGCUUCCAAACGUGUGGGUGCCUCUUGGGUUUCCUCAGAUAUUUUAUGGACUGUUUUCAAAGAUUUUUAUAAAAUCAGGCCAACAAUGUCUGCAUCCCCUACCACAUCAGUGAAAAAUUGGACAGUGUUUCAGAGUCAUGUAAAUUCCUUCUAUAAGAAACAUUUACAUUUUACUAAGUGAAAAUUUAGUAGACCACUUCAUGGGUGAAUUCAUCCCUGGUUUGUCUCCCUCGUUACAGUACAGUUACCACAGGGAUGGGUUGACUAAUAGGUUACCACUAAUGAACAGAAAAAUGAGUAGCACGUAUAACUGAACAUUACAAAGGUUUCUUCCAGGAUUGCCACGGCACGUUCAGAUAGCUGAUAAGAUACUUCAUUCUUACCGUUCCUGUAUUUUCAUGAGAACUUAUCUGUAACUUAUCAAAACCUGAAGACCGGUUUAUGUUUCUUUAUUGUAUUAUUAUAUGGCACAGUAAGUGUAAUAAAGUAAUCUGCUAACUGUU